Molecule: ribosomal RNA, 502 nt
Filed under: uncultured bacterium
Lineage: Bacteria
Description: bacterial SSU rRNA
Rfam family: Bacterial small subunit ribosomal RNA
Source: RNAcentral
GAACGAACGCUGGCGGCGCGUCUUAAGCAUGCAAGUCGAACGGCAAGAGGUAGCAAUACCUCCUAGAGUGGCGGACUGGUGAGUAACACGUGGGUGACAUACCCUUCAGAUGGGGAUAGCUAUAGAAAUAGUAGAUAAUACCGAAUACGAGCACAGGGGUUAGAGAUCUGUGAGGAAAGGAGCUAAGGCUCCGCUGAAGGAAUGGCCUGCGGCCCAUUAGCUAGUUGGUGAGGUAAGAGCCCACCAAGGCGAUGAUGGGUAUCCGGCCUUAGAGGGUGAACGGACACAUUGGGACUGAGAUACGGCCCAGACUCCUACGGGAGGCAGCAGCUAAGAAUAUUCCGCAAUGGACGAAAGUCUGACGGAGCGACGCCGCCGUGGAUGAAGAAGGCCGGAAGGUUGUAAAAUCCUUUUGAAACUGAAGAAUAAGCGUUGUAGGGAAUGACAGCGUGGUGACAGUAGGUUUUGAAUAAGCAACGGCUAAUUACGUGCCAGCCGCCGC